RNAcentral lists this ribosomal RNA (473 nucleotides) under uncultured bacterium. RNAcentral describes it as "bacterial SSU rRNA". It matches the Rfam family "Bacterial small subunit ribosomal RNA", at positions 28 to 477 of the family's 1533-position model. The record is from RNAcentral.
GAUGAACGCUGGCGGCGUGCUUAACACAUGCAAGUCGAACGAAGAGAAUUCGAGUGAAGCUUCGGCGGAACGAAAAUUUUCUUAGUGGCGGACGGGUGAGUAACGUGUGGGCAACCUGCCCUUUACUGGGGAAUAAUCAUUGGAAACGAUGACUAAUACCGCAUGUCAUCAUUAGGAGGCAUCUCCUGAUGAAAAAAGGAUUUAUUCGGUAAAGGAUGGGCCCGCAUCUGAUUAGCUAGUUGGUGAGAUAACAGCCCACCAAGGCAACGAUCAGUAGCCGACCUGAGAGGGUGAUCGGCCACAUUGGAACUGAGAAACGGUCCAGACUCCUACGGGAGGCAGCAGUGGGGAAUAUUGGGGCAAUGGGCGAAAGCCUGACCCAGCAACGCCGCGUGAGGGAAGAAGGGUUUCGGCUCGUAAAACUUCUUUUGUAAGGGUAGCGAAUAAGUCUCACGAGUGGGAUGAUGAGAGUA